This 467-nucleotide ribosomal RNA is filed under the name uncultured bacterium. RNAcentral describes it as "partial 16S ribosomal RNA". It matches the Rfam family "Bacterial small subunit ribosomal RNA", at positions 28 to 506 of the family's 1533-position model. The record is from RNAcentral.
GACGAACGCUGGCGGCGUGCUUAACACAUGCAAGUCGAACGGAAAGGCCCUGCUUUUGUGGGGUGCUCGAGUGGCGAACGGGUGAGUAACACGUGAGUAACCUGCCCUUGACUUUGGGAUAACUUCAGGAAACUGGGGCUAAUACCGGAUAGGAGCUCCUGCUGCAUGGUGGGGGUUGGAAAGUUUCGGCGGUUGGGGAUGGACUCGCGGCUUAUCAGCUUGUUGGUGGGGUAGUGGCUUACCAAGGCUUUGACGGGUAGCCGGCCUGAGAGGGUGACCGGCCACAUUGGGACUGAGAUACGGCCCAGACUCCUACGGGAGGCAGCAGUGGGGAAUAUUGCACAAUGGGCGGAAGCCUGAUGCAGCAACGCCGCGUGCGGGAUGACGGCCUUCGGGAUGUAAACCGCUUUCGCCUGUGACGAAGCGUGAGUGACGGUAAUGGGUAAAGAAGCACCGGCUAACUACGG